AGCGAACGCUGGCGGCGUGCUUAACACAUGCAAGUCGAACGUGAAAGUAGCAAUAUGAGUAAAGUGGCGUACGGGUGAGUAACACGUGGGUAAUCUACCAAAGAGUCUGGAAUAACCGGCCGAAAGGCUGGCUAAUACUAGAUAGUUCAAGCGCAUUGUAGAGAUGUGAUGGGGAAAGGGAGCUGGCAACAGCCUUUGCUUUUUGAUGAGCCCGGGUCUGAUUAGCUAGUUGGUAAGGUAAUGGCUUACCAAGGCGACGAUCAGUAGCUGGUCUGAGAGGAUGAUCAGCCACACUGGAACUGAAACACGGUCCAGACUCCUACGGGAGGCAGCAGUGGGGAAUCUUGCGCAAUGGACGAAAGUCUGACGCAGCCACGCCGCGUGAGUGAAGAAGGCCUUCGGGUUGUAAAGCUCUGUCGGAAGGGACAAAAACCAUUAUGGUUAAUAGCCAUAGUGCCUGAUGGUACCUUUAAAGGAAGCACCGGCUAACUUCGUGCCAGCAGCCGCCGUAA
RNAcentral lists this ribosomal RNA (512 nucleotides) under uncultured bacterium. RNAcentral's name for it is "partial 16S ribosomal RNA". It matches the Rfam family "Bacterial small subunit ribosomal RNA", at positions 29 to 523 of the family's 1533-position model. The record is from RNAcentral.